Molecule: long non-coding RNA, 647 nt
Filed under: Ananas comosus (pineapple)
Lineage: Eukaryota; Viridiplantae; Streptophyta; Magnoliopsida; Poales; Bromeliaceae
Description: long non-coding RNA (ACOM_LNC013154)
Source: RNAcentral
UCCCAAAUAAAAUAUAAUUGUAAUCACUCGACCUAUAUAUUGGCAAUAAUAACUCGUUGGGUUUAAACCACCAGCCCAAAAUAUUUAAGCCCAGUUAUUAUUAUUACUAGUGUGAAAUUCUUACUAUUGGAGUGUCACAAACUCUCCCGUUUAGGUCCUGACAUUCUCGUUAGUCUUAAACACACACAGCCGAAAAUCAUCAGGCGAUGUGAGAUUUGUAGGAUGUCAGCUUUAAACACAUACAGUCCAAGAUCAAUAGAUGAUGUAAGACUUAUCUCAAUAGCCUUAUCAUUCUGAGCCUAACUUAGCAUGUCAUUCAUCGAUCCUGCCUUAGUAACUUAGCCUAUCAUUCACCGACUUUGAUUUAGCAUGUCAUUCCGACUCUGCUUCAAUCAAGACUUAUUUUACACUUUCUGUUGGUGAAUCGGCUUUGAUACCAAAUGUAACGAUCCUGCCCACUAACAAUAAUAACUCGUUGGGUCCAAACCACCGAUUCAAAAUACUUAAAUCUAGUUAUUAUUAUUACUAAUGCGAAGUCCUCAUAUAUCCAAUAAUAAUUCUAUUCUCAUCUGAUGUGAAGCAAUUGGUUUGUCACAGGAAAGCUCUCUAUUCAAGUUUUAUCUGUCUAAUGCAUGCCGAAAGAGAAG